This 449-nucleotide ribosomal RNA is filed under the name uncultured bacterium. RNAcentral describes it as "bacterial SSU rRNA". It matches the Rfam family "Bacterial small subunit ribosomal RNA", at positions 29 to 524 of the family's 1533-position model. The record is from RNAcentral.
AACGAACGCUGGCGGCAGGCCUAACACAUGCAAGUCGAACGCCGUAGCAAUACGGAGCGGCAGACGGGUGAGUAACACGUGGGAACGUACCCUUCGGUUCGGGAUAACUCAGGGAAACUUGAGCUAAUACCGGAUACGUCCGAGAGGAGAAAGAUUUAUCGCCGAGGGAUCGGCCCGCGUCUGAUUAGCUUGUUGGUGAGGUAACGGCUCACCAAGGCGACGAUCAGUAGCUGGUCGAGAGGAUGAUCAGCCACAUUGGGACUGAGACACGGCCCAAACUCCUACGGGAGGCAGCAGUGGGGAAUAUUGGACAAUGGGCGCAAGCCUGAUCCAGCCAUGCCGCGUGAGUGAUGAAGGCCCUAGGGUUGUAAAGCUCUUUUACCCGGGAAGAUAAUGACUGUACCGGGAGAAUAAGCCCCGGCUAACUUCGUGCCAGCCGCCGCAGUAAU